UCCAAACAAAAGAAACGUGAUUAAGUUUAUAUGGAUGAAUAGUAAAAUCUGCCAGAAUUCAAAUCCUCCUCUGCAACUCUCAAUUUUCGCUCUCCUCUCUAUUUUCUCUCUCACAUAAAAGCUAUCGGAAAAGAAACCAGCCGCAAUGCCGGGAAUCUCCCCAUCAUGGCGGCGGCGGCGGCGGCGAUCUACGUUCUACCACCAAAAUUAGUCACCUUCCCCACUAAUUGCUAUCUUCUAAACCCAAAUAUGGCAUUGGAUUAUCCUAAUUUCAAACCUAAACCUUCAAAUCAGAUUAAACUUUGAACCCUAAAUUCAAAAAAAUCUUAAAUCGAACUCUGUCCCUGAAGCUAAUUAGCAAAUCCUAUCGGAUCUAAGAUUAUACACACAGAUACACACAACAUGGCAUGGAAAAAACAAGAAGAGAAUGAAUCAAGGUACCUGGUUCGACGGCGCCGGCGAGCCCCUUCGCUUCUAGAUGUACAAAGAAAGGCCAAGCUUAUUGACAUGGUAACUCAAGGAUGCUGCCAAUUAGUAGUUGGUACCAAGUGAUUCAUGAUUCAAGACUUGUAUCUAAAUUUGUAGCACUGUGAAGUUUGAACUUAUGUGCCCAAUGAGUCUUGAAUUGAAUGGAUAACUAACUUUCUUGUAGUUUAAGAAAAAAAAACUUGUCAUUUAAAUUAGUUUGUAUCCAUUCGGAACCUUGCAAACUAGAGACCUUGUAUCACUUUGAUGGUUGAAUCAUGUAUCAUCUUCUUUGCAUCAUCUUUGUAGAACAAAUUGGAAAUUUAAGCAUUGUAUUCAUUUUUGGUUGUCCACUGUAUGUAACCUUCAAAAGCUUGGCAUGAAACUUGUGUUGAAAUGAUAAACAUGCUUGUGGUUGUAUUUGAA
Vicia villosa (hairy vetch) is the source of this 891-nucleotide long non-coding RNA. RefSeq lists it as uncharacterized. The record is from RefSeq and is a predicted model, not a curated record. The transcript is spliced from 2 exons. NCBI's taxonomy places the organism in Eukaryota, Viridiplantae, Streptophyta, Magnoliopsida, Fabales, Fabaceae.